Canis lupus familiaris (dog) is the source of this 2264-nucleotide long non-coding RNA. RefSeq lists it as uncharacterized. The record is from RefSeq and is a predicted model, not a curated record. The transcript has 5 exons. Lineage: Eukaryota; Metazoa; Chordata; Mammalia; Carnivora; Canidae.
GAAUCAUGCCCUGGGCCAAAGGCAGAUGCUCAACCACUGAGCCACCCAGGCGUCCCGAGAGAACUGGAACCUCAGACCCGAAGUACCUUCUGGACGAUUUAGCCCACCCCCUGCAUUGCACACUUGAGCACAUGUGCCCGGACACGUUGACGGCUGUGCCUGAGACCGCGCAGUUAUGGUUCUCCUGUGAAAACCAGAAGACAACCAUGAAGGAGUAACACAGUCCUUAAUCCAGUAGGCACCAAGGGACCAACCCCUACUGCAACCAUGAAGAAUCUUGACUCUAGGUGCAAGCGAUGAGGCAGUGAAAGAGCAUGAGCAUGUCAUGAAGUCAGGGGUUCUCGUACGUUUUAUUCACUGCCACUUCCCCGGCAUCUAGUACAGAGCUCAGCACCAGUCGCCCGAAACCACUUGUUGCACAACAUGGACUGUUCGCAUGAUUUAAAGGGAAGAAUUUUGAGUUUCCAGGUCAUCCCAAGAGAGAGAAGGUUUGGAUGACCAGAAAAUGAAAGACGAGUGACGAAGAGCUUUGGCGACCCUAAAUGACAAGAUAAAGCCCAGAAUUGCCAUGAUGUCAUCGGCAUUGUCUGCCGGGGCGGGUUGGGGUGGGGGGCGUCCAGACCGGCUGACUGUGGAUCACUGGCUCCAGGAAGGGGGUGCCCGUGGACAUCUUGGUGUCACCCACACCCUGCAGCUCAUAGACACACGCCCUCUUCCUGGCGCCAGGACGAACCCCACUCAGAGAUGUAUCCCCAGGGGGAUAAAAUGACACAAGGGCCUCAUGGCAGGGAGUUGCACGACCGCGUCCCCAGGCCGGGCCAGCCGGUGUCUGUCUGCCAGAUGUGCAAAGGCAGGAAAUUAGCCCAAACUCUGACUAAACAUCUCUACUCUUGGCCGUAUUAGUAAUUGGCUACGGUUUUCUAGGAUUGGACACAUACGUGAAAAGUCCCAUAGUCCCCGACACCAAUGACACAGACAGUAGGCUCCAGCCCCACUCCUAUCACAGGCUCAGCGUUUCUGGGUGCUUCUCGGGUGGCAGCACUGGCCAGGGCCCAAAGGAUGCAGCCUGACGCGGACGGGCAGGGCCAGGAUGCACCGGCGCCCGCGGCCUCACUCUGGGGCCCGGCCCAGCCUGAGAAGCCCAAUCACCCCUGAGAAAGAAUUUUCUUUUCUCUCACUUGGUAGGUAGCUCAUGGGUCAGAGUUGUCCUCAGACAGCAGCAGCCAGGGCCCCUGCCUCAGGUCCUGCAACUUCAUGCAUUUAUGAGACAAAUAUUAAACAAAUGGCUAAUAUACGCUCUACAUUAGAUGCUAGGAAGACGGUAGUGAACGAAACAGAAUUUGAAUUUCCCUUUCUUCGUGGAACUUGCAUGGGCGGGGAGGGGACAGACAAGAAGCAAUCAAUAACUAGCCUGUGAGGUGUGUUAGCAGGUGAUAGAUGGUGUGGACACGAGCAGGAUGGGCGGGGAGUGAGGGCAGGCUCGCGGGAAGGUCCCACCUGCAAUGACAGCAGGUGAGCGUCAGGAGAGGAGCAUUCUAGGCACGGGGAGCAGCCGGGGCAAAGACUGAUGCCCUGGCCUCCGCCGGUGUGUUCAGGAAACAUAGGGACCAGUGGAGGCCAGCGAGGCAGGGAAGUGGUAAUUAGGAAGGCCCGUGGGCCGGUGCGGAGCAGUCCUGGCAGGUAAUCACAGGAGGACAGCGGCUCCAAACCGGCUGGUAGCUAGGGCUGGCUUGGGUUUGGGGCUCCCUGAGGCCUUUGUAGUUUCAAGAUGCCUUCUUUAAGAAAAAAAUAAAAUUACAAAUAUGAAAUUGAAGCCCAGGGUUUUGGAAAUGCAAGCAAGGGGCCUUGAAGCCGAACUUCCGUAGCUUCCUGCUGGUGGAGCAGAGGAUCUGGGGCCUGGGCUUGGGAUCGCCCCAGAGUACCCCACUCACCCCAAGGCAGCAUCCCUCCUUCCCUCCUUCCCUCCCUCCUACAGUGCUGCCCUCCUGCGACUUUCUUCCUGUUCCAGACUUACUGGACUUCCAUCUCAGCCGGGGGUUGCCCAGAUAGAAGUAGAAACAGAGAGGAGUUGAGUCCACAGUGUGUCCCAGCCUGGCCAGCCCACAGGGACCACCAACCCCGACAGUGAGGGGAGGCACCUAAGUCCCUCCUCGGAGGGGAAAGACAGGAAUAAUUUCUCCAAAGGGAGCACUUCUCUGAUUUUAGUGGUUCUGCUCCCAUUCAGGAAGACAGAUUAGGAGGGCAAGGCACACACCAUGAAAGGA